Molecule: ribosomal RNA, 253 nt
Filed under: uncultured bacterium
Lineage: Bacteria
Description: partial 16S ribosomal RNA
Rfam family: Bacterial small subunit ribosomal RNA
Source: RNAcentral
UACGGGGGGGGCAAGCGUUGUUCGGAAUUACUGGGCGUAAAGGGCUCGUAGGUGGCCAACUAAGUCAGACGUGAAAUCCCUCGGCUUAACCGGGGAACUGCGUCUGAUACUGGAUGGCUUGAGGUUGGGAGAGGGAUGCGGAAUUCCAGGUGUAGCGGUGAAAUGCGUAGAUAUCUGGAGGAACACCGGUGGCGAAGGCGGCAUCCUGGACCAAUUCUGACACUGAGGAGCGAAAGCGUGGGGAGCGAUCCGG